UAGAAUUAUCCUGUAGAUGCUU
Molecule: non-coding RNA, 22 nt
Filed under: Arabidopsis thaliana (thale cress)
Lineage: Eukaryota; Viridiplantae; Streptophyta; Magnoliopsida; Brassicales; Brassicaceae
Source: RNAcentral